This 555-nucleotide long non-coding RNA is filed under the name Vigna radiata. RNAcentral describes it as "long non-coding RNA (VRAD_LNC010208)". The record is from RNAcentral. Lineage: Eukaryota; Viridiplantae; Streptophyta; Magnoliopsida; Fabales; Fabaceae.
UAUAGAUUUAUAAACGAAUUAUCCCUCUGUAAUAUCGAUAUGUAAUAUUGGCGCGUUUAGACGGAAAGUUUGCCAAGGAUUGAUCCGUAUAUAAGACCGUAUGUAACUGGAAGACAUAUUUAUCUACUGAUUUUAAAUACGGAUAUGGAGAUAAUAAUUAAUUAAAAAAUAAAAACAAGUAAUAUAGAAUAUGAUUUUGGAAAUGUUCUCGCACUCUUCUUCCUCGAGCCAGCUUUCUCCCCCUUUCUCGAGCCCUAGUUUCCCCCUCUGUCGAGCCCUACUUUCUGACUACAACCAUCCAUCACCAUGAUUCUCCCUCUCUACAACCAUGAUUCUCCCUCUCUGAUUCACACUCGUUCUCGUCAACCCAUUAUUCUCCCUCGUCGGGCCUUCUUCUCCCUCGACGAACCUUCUUCUACCUCGUCUAGCCAUUCUGUGUUAGUGGAAUUGUAUUUGUGUUCAGCCGAAGAACAAUUCUCCAUCAUUGGAACCCUAGUGUUGUUUUCCAUCAUUUGAACCCUAGUUCUACUCCUACUAGAACCGUCAUUGUGUGGU